ACCCUCCAAAUUCCUUCGCCCUCAGAUCUAAACAUGGGUCUGAGUGGCUGUCAAAGGAGGGAAAGUAGAACUGAUGUCGAUUUGGAUUCCUUAGUAAGAUAUAAGUUCAUUUUAAACAAAU
RNAcentral lists this small nucleolar RNA (121 nucleotides) under Echinops telfairi (small Madagascar hedgehog). Its description in RNAcentral is "Small nucleolar RNA SNORA61 (ENSETEG00000024768.1)". Lineage: Eukaryota; Metazoa; Chordata; Mammalia; Afrosoricida; Tenrecidae. The record is from RNAcentral.